RNAcentral lists this long non-coding RNA (744 nucleotides) under Dasypus novemcinctus (nine-banded armadillo). Its description in RNAcentral is "lncRNA (ENSDNOG00000051783.1)". The record is from RNAcentral. Lineage: Eukaryota; Metazoa; Chordata; Mammalia; Cingulata; Dasypodidae.
GGCCAGUUUUGUGACCUCGGAGUGGGAGAAGAUCUGUGGAGAUGGCAGAGGUGGCCGAGGGGACGGCUGGAGGCGGCGAGGACACGAGGUACCCCAGGCACGCCCAGGGCAUGGUCGAGAAGCAGGAAGAAGCUUGGUUUGACUAAAGCAUCGGAAGGAGAAGAGCGGGAGCAAAGGCAGGGAAGGUGGGAGAGGGAACGGGAGGGCAGGGGGCCGGCCGCCGUCUCUGCACCUGAUGAGCUGGGGCGCCCUAGAAGGUGUGGGGGUUUCGAAAUGUGGCAAGUGAGGGGAGCAGUGGUGGGCUGAGGGCAAUUUAGGAGGGUGGGAAGAGUUUGGGAACCCCAUAGGUGGAAACGGUGAGAUGAAAUGAGCAAAAGAUGGCUAAUGUUAGGAGGCACCCGGAAGAGGCUACUGAGCAUCAAGUCUCGGAAACUGGCUUUUUCUUCAUUUCACAGUUAAAAUGAGGUUUGGCCAGCGACUCAGCACGCCAUGCUUCUUGCCUCUCCGCACUCCUGACCUCUCUGCUCACCCGUAGCAACAGCCCCUCCCUCCGCGGCACUAUCCCUUCCUCUCCCCCAGCCAGUCUUCCUUCCCUCUCAUCAGAUUCCACCCCCUGCUCCCUGGGCAGUUCUUUCCAGGGAGUCAAGGACCCGACGGUCCUGCAGUCCGCGGGGCUCCCCAAACGGAUCUGAAUAAACAGCCAGUUGUUUCUACCUUCCCACGCCUCUUCUAUUUCUUUCUGAA